CUAGUACGGCGAGUGAAGCGGGAAGAGCUCAAAUUUGAAAUCUGGCAGUCUUCGAUUGUCCGAGUUGUAAUCUAUAGAGGCGUUUUCCGUGCCGGACCGUGUCCAAGUCUCCUGGAAAGGAGUAUCAAAGAGGGUGAUAAUCCCGUACUUAACACGACCACCGGUGCUCUGUGAUACGUCUUCUACGAGUCGAGUUGUUUGGGAAUGCAGCUCAAAAUGGGUGGUGAAUUCCAUCUAAAGCUAAAUAUUGGCGAGAGACCGAUAGCGAACAAGUACCGUGAGGGAAAGAUGAAAAGCACUUUGGAAAGAGAGUUAAACAGUACGUGAAAUUGUUGAAAGGGAAACGAUUGAAGUCAGUCGUGUUCUUUGGAUUCAGCCAGUUCUGCUGGUCUACUUCCUUGGAACGGGUCAACAUCAGUUUUGUCCGGUGGAUAAAGGUAGUAGGAAUGUGACUUCUCCGGAAGUGUUAUAGCCUAUUAUCACAUACACUGGGUGAGACUGAGGACUGCAGCUCGCCUUUAUGGCCGGCCUUCGGGCACGUUCGAGCUUAGGAUGUUGACAUAAUGGCUUUAAACGACCCGUCUUGAA
This 588-nucleotide ribosomal RNA is filed under the name Trichosporon asahii. RNAcentral describes it as "partial large subunit ribosomal RNA". It matches the Rfam family "Eukaryotic large subunit ribosomal RNA", at positions 80 to 658 of the family's 3401-position model. The record is from RNAcentral. Lineage: Eukaryota; Fungi; Basidiomycota; Tremellomycetes; Trichosporonales; Trichosporonaceae.